Molecule: ribosomal RNA, 406 nt
Filed under: uncultured bacterium
Lineage: Bacteria
Description: partial 16S ribosomal RNA
Rfam family: Bacterial small subunit ribosomal RNA
Source: RNAcentral
AUUGAACGCUGGCGGCAGGCCUAACACAUGCAAGUCGAACGAGUGUAGGACGGGUGAGUCAUGUCUGGGAAACUGCCUGAUGGAGGGGGAUAACUACUGGAAACGGUAGCUAAUACCGCAUACCAUCAGAUGUGCCCAUAUGGGAUUCGCUAGUUGGUGGUGUAACGACUAACCAAGGCGACGAUCCCUAGCUGGUCUGGAAGGAUGCCCAGCCACACUGGAACAGAGCCACGGUCCAGACUCCUACGGGAGGCAGCAGUGGGGAAUAUUGCACAAUGGGCGCAAGCCUGAUGCAGCCAUGCCGCGUGUAUGAAGAAGGCUUUCGGGUUGUAAAGUACUUUCAGCGGGGAGGCGUUACCCGCAGAAGAAGCACCGGCUAACUCCGUGCCAGCAGCCGCGGUAAUUC